This 241-nucleotide long non-coding RNA is filed under the name Hordeum vulgare. RNAcentral describes it as "long non-coding RNA (HVUL_LNC012326)". Lineage: Eukaryota; Viridiplantae; Streptophyta; Magnoliopsida; Poales; Poaceae. The record is from RNAcentral.
UUUAUUUUCAGUUUAUUAAUGUUAAAUAUUUGAGUCUUCUCUAAAAUAUAUUAUUCUUAUUUACAUGAUUGUUAUAUCUUCAUAAAUCUCUUCGGUCUGUUGAUUUGGUUUGGCCAACUAGAUUGAUCUAUCUUCACUAGGAGGUGUGCGUUGUAGUGGGUUCAAUCUGGCGGUACUCUAUAUCUCAGUGACAGAAAGGGAUAAGACACGUCUUUGUAUUAUUGCCACUAAGGAUAAAACG